Molecule: non-coding RNA, 108 nt
Organism: Ceratobasidium sp. 423
Lineage: Eukaryota; Fungi; Basidiomycota; Agaricomycetes; Cantharellales; Ceratobasidiaceae
Source: the annotation of a GenBank genome assembly
GCUUCCUUGGCUCAGUUGGUAGAGCGUUGGUCUCAUAUUUCAAAUAUGAGUAAUCACGUAAUUGAUUAUCUAAUCCAAAGGUCACCAGUUCGAGCCUGGUAGGGAGCA